Molecule: long non-coding RNA, 1253 nt
Organism: Aedes aegypti (yellow fever mosquito)
Lineage: Eukaryota; Metazoa; Arthropoda; Insecta; Diptera; Culicidae
Exons: 2
Source: RefSeq, a predicted model, not a curated record
UUUCAAGGAACCCAUAAGAUUUGAGGCCCCUAACUAUUGAAAAACAAUGAUAAACUGGCGGCACGCUAGUUCACCCCACGGUCCCCUACAAUUUAUUUCACCUCGAUUUUUUUCAGAACCCCUUUUUCCCCUAUGAUUUUACCAUCAGGUUGUGGUGAAUUUUUGAUCAGCUGGCAUGACAGCUGACUUAUGUUUAUAUUUACAUUCGGUUUCGCUGGCAAUGUUUACACCCGAUGUUUUUCAUCACUUUUCAUAAAAUCGCCAGCAUCAUCGUUCGAUCUGAUCCUCUUCCAUUGCGGAAUGCUGACUACCGUGACCACAAGAUUCAAUUUCAGCCCCUACCCUACCGGAAGGUGGGUGGUAUGUAAACAGCCAGUUGUAAAAAGCCGACCGAUUUUUAAUAUAAAAGAUGAAUUCUCGUGAAUGUUUAUCAGAAAUGAAUAAUACCAAAACCAGGUUCGAAAAAUACAUUUCAAGGCAUUUGCUGGUACAGAGUUGCCGCUCCUGCAAUAGCAUCCGAUGAUGUUUGAUCUCUCAGUCGCAUGGAAGCAGGUCCUGAUCCGGGGCCAUCCAGAUCUGCAAACCACUCGAACAUGAACAAAAUAGCUACCGAUCUCAAGGCAAGAGGUGAUGGAAAUCAGUGGAUGCUGACGGAAAGCCGUUAUUUAUGAGAUGAUUACUUUCAAACUGGAAGAAGUUCCGAAUGCCUUCCGGAUUGGAGAACCUGAUGGCUAUGGUGGGGGAGAUGGUUCCUCGAAUGAAGGUAACAGUAAGGAAGUAUUGGACCCAUGCGGACAGCCGAAGCGGAAAUGAUUAUGGGAGAAAAGGGAACGCACAUAUUGAUAGCGGCGAGGAUGACGACGACGGUGAUUUCGAUGAGAAUACUCCGACCAAUACAGGGCUGGUAGCAGGUCUCUUUUUAGAGACUUGGUCUCUGUGUUAAUGCAAGCAGGGGCGACUAGUAACCUCACUUUCUACCUGUUCUACGUUACUAAAAAUUGAUAUUUUGACAAAUUUACUAUCUUAUUCAAAAAAUAAAUGGCUGAAAUCGACAAUUUAAACCAUUCUCUACUAAGUAGAUACGCAUUCGUUGUGAAAAUUCAAACAUUUCUAUACGUGGAACAGGUAGAUUUGAGGUUAGGGAAUCGCCACUGAAUGCAAGUCUCUAUUUUUUUAAGGGAAGAUCUUCAAAGUUUCGAAUUUAACCAAAAACUACUUACAGUGAAUCCUGCUGCCACCUUGUAGACGUUUUA